UGGCGAACGGGUGAGUAAUACAUCGGAACGUGUCCGCUCGUGGGGGACAACCAGCCGAAAGGUUGGCUAAUACCGCAUGAGUUCUACGGAAGAAANAGGGGACCCGCAAGGGCCUCUCGCGAGCGGAGCGGCCGAUGACUGAUUAGCCGGUUGGUGAGGUAACGGCUCACCAAAGCAACGAUCAGUAGCUGGUCUGAGAGGACGACCAGCCACACUGGGACUGAGACACGGCCCAGACUCCUACGGGAGGCAGCAG
Molecule: ribosomal RNA, 256 nt
Filed under: uncultured bacterium
Lineage: Bacteria
Description: partial 16S ribosomal RNA
Rfam family: Bacterial small subunit ribosomal RNA
Source: RNAcentral